CACGAGCGGACGAACGGGUGAGUAACACGUGGGUGACCUGCCCUCAGCUCUGGGAUAAGCCUGGGAAACUGGGUCUAAUACCGGAUAGGACCUGGCCUCGCAUGGGGUUGGGUGGAAAGUUUUUCGGCUGGGGAUGGGCCCGCGGCCUAUCAGCUUGUUGGUGGGGUGAUGGCCUACCAAGGCGACGACGGGUAGCCGGCCUGUAGAGGGCGACCGGCCACACUGGGACUGAGACACGGCCCAGACUCCUACGGGAGGCAGCAGUGGGGAAUAUUGCGCAAUGGGCGGAAGCCUGACGCAGCGACGCCGCGUGGGGGAUGACGGCCUUCGGGUUGUAAACCUCUUUCGACCGGGACGAAGCGUGAGUGACGGUACCGGUAGAAGAAGCACCGGCCAACUACGUGCCAGCAGCCGCGGUAAUACGUAGGGUGCGAGCGUUGUCCGGAAUUAUUGGGCGUAAAGAGCUCGUAGGCGGUGUGUCGCGUCGGUCGUGAAAACUUGGGGCUUAACCCUGAGCUUGCGGUCGAUACGGGCAUCACUUGAGUUCGGCAGGGGAGACUGGAAUUCCUGGUGUAGCGGUGAAAUGCGCAGAUAUCAGGAGGAACACCGUUGGCGAAGGCGGGUCUCUGGGCCGAUACUGACGCUGAGGAACGAAAGCGUGGGGAGCCGAACAGGAUUAGAUACCCUGGUAGUCCACGCCGUAAACGGUGGGCGCUAGGUGUGGGGCCAUUCCACGGUCUUUGGCCGACUA
RNAcentral lists this ribosomal RNA (751 nucleotides) under bacterium B_D75_82. RNAcentral's name for it is "bacterial SSU rRNA". It matches the Rfam family "Bacterial small subunit ribosomal RNA", at positions 89 to 852 of the family's 1533-position model. The record is from RNAcentral.